RNAcentral lists this long non-coding RNA (1202 nucleotides) under Equus asinus (donkey). RNAcentral's name for it is "lncRNA (ENSEASG00005038683.1)". Lineage: Eukaryota; Metazoa; Chordata; Mammalia; Perissodactyla; Equidae. The record is from RNAcentral.
CCUCCACAUACUUUGAGUGCUUCUGGUCCUCCUGGUAAAUCUCGAGAUGUCCUGUCUCCAGCUGCUCACAGCUCUGGGGUGACUGUGACUGUGGCUCUGGCUCCUGCCAGUUGCUCAGAGAUGAGGCACCUGUGUGCUGCGUUUUGGGGAGCUGGGCUUCUACAUGCUUCUGCCACAAGUGGGAACACUUGUAGUGGCUUCCAGGAAGACAACCUCAGGGGUUACCUCCACGGCCACCAACUCCAGAGGGCUGUCUGCUCUACACCUCUGCUCAGUCCACUUCUGGCAGGAGCGGAGGACUUCCGUGCCAUACAGAAAGUCUCACUGGAAUUGUGUCUGUUGAAGAACCCCACAUCCUAGCACAGAUUUGGAAGGCUGGAUUCCUUGCUGGCAGCAGUAGGCUCAUCAGAACAGGAGGUCCAGGCUGCCUCUCAAAAUCCAGGUGAGAGAAUGCCACACACCACACAGGUAUUGAUGGGCUCACACAUCUCCAUCAGCCCUGUCCUUGGAGGGAGGCUGAGCACUAAGGACAAGUUUGGCCUGGUGACUGAAGAUACUCUGUGGUUGGCCUUACGGGUCAGUUUAUCCUUCUGGAAAGCUGUCCCUAGAGGUUUGGGUGUGACAGCUCCUGCCUUCAUUCCCUCAGCCUUGAUUACAGUGGUGGUAGGGAUCAAAUGCCCAGGAUUUUCCAGUCUGCCUGUUGCCAAUAUGAGUGCUUGCCUAUUACCCAAGGGUCCUCAUGAGACACCUCUGGCCGGCAGCCCAAGUGCCGUGGGGGUAGUAAUAAACUCUUACUGCUUUGUAAGUGCAGCCUUCAGCACAGACCCUGGCCAAAAGCGUCUGAUUCUUAUCAGAGGCUGAAGGACAGGUUUUGCUGGAGUUUCUAUGCCCAAACUUGAAAAGCAAGUUCAUCUGCCCCUUUACUCUGCAAACAUGGGGUUCCAUCUUAUUCUUGAGAAAAGGCCAAACACUCCGCCUCCAUAAUGACUCUAGAGAUCACUGUGUGGCCUAGUGACCACUGGCUGCUGGUCACUGGAGCAAGGCUGACCAACUGUGACACUUUGCCUGGGACUGAGAGGUCUCCUGGGACUUGGGAUGUUCAAUGCUAAAACCGGGGAAGUCCCAAGCAAUCCGGGAUGAGUUGAUCACUUUAACCAGAACUGAUCCUUGUCCUCUUAGACCAGCUCCUCAGCAUCCACACG